UACAGAGGAUGCAAGCGUUAUCCGGAAUGAUUGGGCGUAAAGCGUCUGUAGGUGGCUUUUUAAGUCCGCCGUCAAAUCCCAGGGCUCAACUCUGGACAGGCGGUGGAAACUACCAAGCUGGAGUACGGUAGGGGCAGAGGGAAUUUCCGGUGGAGCGGUGAAAUGCGUAGAUAUCUGGAGGAAUACCGGUGGCGAAGGCGGCAUCCUGGACCGGCAUUGACGCUGAACAGCGAAAGCUAGGGGAGCAAACGGG
Molecule: ribosomal RNA, 253 nt
Filed under: uncultured bacterium
Lineage: Bacteria
Description: partial 16S ribosomal RNA
Rfam family: Bacterial small subunit ribosomal RNA
Source: RNAcentral